UGCCCCAUGGCUGAGUUGGUUACAGCGUCCGACUGUUAGGUAGCCUUGCUAAUUACGUAAUCAUCGGAAGGUCGUGAGUUCGAGCCUCACUGGGGCAG
Leucogyrophana mollusca is the source of this 98-nucleotide non-coding RNA. Lineage: Eukaryota; Fungi; Basidiomycota; Agaricomycetes; Boletales. The record is from the annotation of a GenBank genome assembly.